RNAcentral lists this unclassified non-coding RNA (184 nucleotides) under uncultured Lecanicillium. Its description in RNAcentral is "sequence contains ITS1". The record is from RNAcentral. Lineage: Eukaryota; Fungi; Ascomycota; Sordariomycetes; Hypocreales; Cordycipitaceae.
CCGAGUUUACAACUCCCAAACCCUUAUGUGAACAUACCAAAUGUUGCUUCGGCGGACUCGCCCCGGCGUCCGGACGGCCCUCGCGCCGCCCGCGGCCCGGGCUCAGGCGGCCGCCGGAGACCACAAAACUCUUCUGUAUUAUCAGUAUCUUCUGAAUCAGCCGCAAGGCAAAACAAAUGAAUCA